CACACUAUCAUUAACUGAAUCCAUAGGUUAAUGAGGCGAACCGGGGGAACUGAAACAUCUAAGUACCCCGAGGAAAAGAAAUCAACCGAGAUUCCCCCAGUAGCGGCGAGCGAACGGGGAGCAGCCCAGAGCCUGAAUCAGUGUGUGUGUUAGUGGAAGCGUCUGGAAAGGCGCGCGAUACAGGGUGACAGCCCCGUACACAAAAAUGCACAUGCUGUGAGCUCGAUGAGUAGGGCGGGACACGUGGUAUCCUGUCUGAAUAUGGGGGGACCAUCCUCCAAGGCUAAAUACUCCUGACUGACCGAUAGUGAACCAGUACCGUGAGGGAAAGGCGAAAAGAACCCCGGCGAGGGGAGUGAAAAAGAACCUGAAACCGUGUACGUACAAGCAGUGGGAGCACGCUUAGGCGUGUGACUGCGUACCUUUUGUAUAAUGGGUCAGCGACUUAUAUUCUGUAGCAAGGUUAACCGAAUAGGGGAGCCGAAGGGAAACCGAGUCUUAACUGGGCGUUAAGUUGCAGGGUAUAGACCCGAAACCCGGUGAUCUAGCCAUGGGCAGGUUGAAGGUUGGGUAACACUAACUGGAGGACCGAACCGACUAAUGUUGAAAAAUUAGCGGAUGACUUGUGGCUGGGGGUGAAAGGCCAAUCAAACCGGGAGAUAGCUGGUUCUCCCCGAAAGCUAUUUAGGUAGCGCCUCGUGAAUUCAUCUCCGGGGGUAGAGCACUGUUUCGGCAAGGGGGUCAUCCCGACUUACCAACCCGAUGCAAACUGCGAAUACCGGAGAAUGUUAUCACGGGAGACACACGGCGGGUGCUAACGUCCGUCGUGAAGAGGGAAACAACCCAGACCGCCAGCUAAGGUCCCAAAGUCAUGGUUAAGUGGGAAACGAUGUGGGAAGGCCCAGACAGCCAGGAUGUUGGCUUAGAAGCAGCCAUCAUUUAAAGAAAGCGUAAUAGCUCACUGGUCGAGUCGGCCUGCGCGGAAGAUGUAACGGGGCUAAACCAUGCACCGAAGCUGCGGCAGCGACGCUGAUGCGUUGUUGGGUAGGGGAGCGUUCUGUAAGCCUGCGAAGGUGUGCUGUGAGGCAUGCUGGAGGUAUCAGAAGUGCGAAUGCUGACAUAAGUAACGAUAAAGCGGGUGAAAAGCCCGCUCGCCGGAAGACCAAGGGUUCCUGUCCAACGUUAAUCGGGGCAGGGUGAGUCGACCCCUAAGGCGAGGCCGAAAGGCGUAGUCGAUGGGAAACAGGUUAAUAUUCCUGUACUUGGUGUUACUGCGAAGGGGGGACGGAGAAGGCUAUGUUGGCCGGGCGACGGUUGUCCCGGUUUAAGCGUGUAGGCUGGUUUUCCAGGCAAAUCCGGAAAAUCAAGGCUGAGGCGUGAUGACGAGGCACUACGGUGCUGAAGCAACAAAUGCCCUGCUUCCAGGAAAAGCCUCUAAGCAUCAGGUAACAUCAAAUCGUACCCCAAACCGACACAGGUGGUCAGGUAGAGAAUACCAAGGCGCUUGAGAGAACUCGGGUGAAGGAACUAGGCAAAAUGGUGCCGUAACUUCGGGAGAAGGCACGCUGAUAUGUAGGUGAAGUCCCUCGCGGAUGGAGCUGAAAUCAGUCGAAGAUACCAGCUGGCUGCAACUGUUUAUUAAAAACACAGCACUGUGCAAACACGAAAGUGGACGUAUACGGUGUGACGCCUGCCCGGUGCCGGAAGGUUAAUUGAUGGGGUCAGCGCAAGCGAAGCUCUUGAUCGAAGCCCCGGUAAACGGCGGCCGUAACUAUAACGGUCCUAAGGUAGCGAAAUUCCUUGUCGGGUAAGUUCCGACCUGCACGAAUGGCGUAAUGAUGGCCAGGCUGUCUCCACCCGAGACUCAGUGAAAUUGAACUCGCUGUGAAGAUGCAGUGUACCCGCGGCAAGACGGAAAGACCCCGUGAACCUUUACUAUAGCUUGACACUGAACAUUGAGCCUUGAUGUGUAGGAUAGGUGGGAGGCUUUGAAGUGUGGACGCCAGUCUGCAUGGAGCCGACCUUGAAAUACCACCCUUUAAUGUUUGAUGUUCUAACGUUGACCCGUGAUCCGGGUUGCGGACAGUGUCUGGUGGGUAGUUUGACUGGGGCGGUCUCCUCCUAAAGAGUAACGGAGGAGCACGAAGGUUGGCUAAUCCUGGUCGGACAUCAGGAGGUUAGUGCAAUGGCAUAAGCCAGCUUGACUGCGAGCGUGACGGCGCGAGCAGGUGCGAAAGCAGGUCAUAGUGAUCCGGUGGUUCUGAAUGGAAGGGCCAUCGCUCAACGGAUAAAAGGUACUCCGGGGAUAACAGGCUGAUACCGCCCAAGAGUUCAUAUCGACGGCGGUGUUUGGCACCUCGAUGUCGGCUCAUCACAUCCUGGGGCUGAAGUAGGUCCCAAGGGUAUGGCUGUUCGCCAUUUAAAGUGGUACGCGAGCUGGGUUUAGAACGUCGUGAGACAGUUCGGUCCCUAUCUGCCGUGGGCGCUGGAGAACUGAGGGGGGCUGCUCCUAGUACGAGAGGACCGGAGUGGACGCAUCACUGGUGUUCGGGUUGUCAUGCCAAUGGCACUGCCCGGUAGCUAAAUGCGGAAGAGAUAAGUGCUGAAAGCAUCUAAGCACGAAACUUGCCCCGAGAUGAGUUCUCCCUGAC
Molecule: ribosomal RNA, 2651 nt
Filed under: Escherichia coli
Lineage: Bacteria; Pseudomonadati; Pseudomonadota; Gammaproteobacteria; Enterobacterales; Enterobacteriaceae
Description: bacterial LSU rRNA
Rfam family: Bacterial large subunit ribosomal RNA
Source: RNAcentral